AGGCUGAAAUUCGCCUUCAUGAAGCCGGAAUUGCUAGUAAUGGCAGGUCAGCAUACUGCCGUGAAUACGUUCCCGGGCCUUGUACACACCGCCCGUCACACCAUGAGAGUUGGGAAUACCCGAAGCCUGUGAGCUAACUAAUAGAGGCAGCAGUCGAAGGUAGAAUCAAUGAUUGGGGUGAAGUCGUAACAAGGUAAC
This 198-nucleotide ribosomal RNA is filed under the name uncultured bacterium. RNAcentral describes it as "partial 16S ribosomal RNA". It matches the Rfam family "Bacterial small subunit ribosomal RNA", at positions 1302 to 1500 of the family's 1533-position model. The record is from RNAcentral.